GACGAACGCUGGCGGCGUGCUUAACACAUGCAAGUCGAGCGGUAAGGCUCCUUCGGGAGUACACGAGUGGCGAACGGGUGAGUAACACGUGAGCAACCUGCCCUUGACUUUGGGAUACCAGCUGGAAACAGCUGCUAAUACCGGAUACGACCCCUUGACGCAUGUUUUGGGGUGGAAAGCUCCGGCGGUCAGGGAUGGGCUCGCGGCCUAUCAGCUUGUUGGUGAGGUAAUGGCUCACCAAGGCUUCGACGGGUAGCCGGCCUGAGAGGGUGACCGGCCACACUGGGACUGAGACACGGCCCAGACUCCUACGGGAGGCAGCAGUGGGGAAUAUUGGACAAUGGGCGAAAGCCUGAUCCAGCAACGCCGCGUGAGGGAUGACGGCCUUCGGGUUGUAAACCUCUUUCAGCGCAGACGAAGCGAAAGUGACGGUAUGCGCAGAAGAAGGACCGGCCAACUACGUGCCAGCAGCCGCAGUAAUAC
Molecule: ribosomal RNA, 483 nt
Filed under: uncultured bacterium
Lineage: Bacteria
Description: bacterial SSU rRNA
Rfam family: Bacterial small subunit ribosomal RNA
Source: RNAcentral